This 110-nucleotide ribosomal RNA is filed under the name uncultured eukaryote. RNAcentral describes it as "partial small subunit ribosomal RNA". It matches the Rfam family "Eukaryotic small subunit ribosomal RNA", at positions 1676 to 1785 of the family's 1831-position model. The record is from RNAcentral.
UCGCACCUACCGAUUGAAUGGUCCGGUGAAGACUCGGGAUUGUAGCGUGGCUCCUUUAUUGGUGCCUCGCCGCGAGAACUUGUCUAAACCUUAUCAUUUAGAGGAAGGUG